Molecule: ribosomal RNA, 1542 nt
Filed under: Triticum aestivum (bread wheat)
Lineage: Eukaryota; Viridiplantae; Streptophyta; Magnoliopsida; Poales; Poaceae
Description: partial small subunit ribosomal RNA
Source: RNAcentral
AUGGGCUUCAACGUACCCAUGGAGUUCCUGCCAAUGCCGGCCAACGGGCAAGGGCGAUCAGGGUGCAGAAGGGGGCCGUACUGUGGGGCCAACAUCACGUCACAGUGUCCGAGCGAGCUCAAGGCGCCGGGAGGCUGCAACAGCGCAUGUAACGCGCUUCAAAACCAGUCCAGUUUGUACUGCUGCUAUGGAAGACACUGUGAAUCCAACAAAUAUUCGGCCUUUUUUGUGCGGAUGUGCCCGGAAGCAUUAAGCUUCUCCAGCGAUGCUCCGUCACAAACUGCAUUCAGUUGUCCAUGGGAUACCAACUACCAGGUCAUCUUCUGCCCACCGAUCAAUCCAACGUCUUCACCUCCAAGUCAUCCUAACAAAUCUGGUUUUAGGCCAGCAAGCACAGAACCAUCAUCUAGGAAAGUAAGAACUGUUGUUUUGAUUGCAAUUACUGGUCCCAUAGUUUUUGUUCUCGCAUUGAUCUUUUUCGUCGUAUAUCGGAGAAGAACACGACGGCACCAUGAGAUGGAGGAAGAUGAGGCAGAGUUCGGUCAACUACAAGGAACACCAAUGAGGUUUACGUUUCAACAGUUAGAAGCAGCAACAGAGCAAUUCAAGGACAAGCUCGGGGAAGGAGGAUUUGGGUCUGUUUUCGAGGGACAGCUAGGCGAGGAAAGGAUUGCGGUAAAACGUUUGGAUCGAGCUGGUCAGGGGAAGAAAGAAUUCUUGGCGGAGGUUCAGACAAUUGGCAGCAUUCAUCAUAUCAAUCUGGUCAGGCUGUUUGGUUUCUGUGCAGAGAAAUCCCAUAGGCUCUUGGUUUAUGAGUAUAUGCCAAAAGGAUCCUUGGACAGGUGGAUCUAUGGUCGACAUGAAAAUAGUGCUCCUCCGUUAGAAUGGAAGGUACGAUGCAAGAUUAUCACUGACAUAGCUAAGGGUCUGUCUUAUCUCCACGAGGAUUGCAUGAAGAGAAUUGCUCAUUUGGAUGUCAAGCCACAAAAUAUCCUCUUAGAUGAUGACUUCAAUGCUAAACUUUCCGAUUUUGGUCUAUGCAAGCUCAUUGAUAGGGACAUGAGUCAAGUGGUUACAAGAAUGAGAGGCACACCUGGUUAUCUAGCCCCUGAAUGGUUGACAUCACAAAUCACGGAGAAGGCCGAUGUCUAUAGCUUUGGCGUUGUGGUCAUGGAAAUCGUGAGCGGAAGAAAGAACCUCGACACUUCCCUGCCUGAAGAGAGCGUCCAUCUUAUUACCCUAUUGGAAGAAAAGGUGAAGAACAAUCACUUGGAAGAUUUGAUUGACAAGAGCAGCAACGACAUGCAAGCACACGAGCGAGAUGUGAUUCAGAUGAUGAAGCUCGCGAUGUGGUGUUUGCAGAUUGACUGCAAAGGAAGGCCUAAAAUGUCCGAGGUAGUCAAAGUCUUGGAAGGUACCAUAGAUGCAGAGAGCAACAUAGAUCAUAACUUUGUCGCAACAAAUGAACCAAAUUUUGGUAUUGCUGGAAAUGUGAACUCUUCAGCUCCACCUGUAGCCUCAGAUGUAUCGGGUCCAAGGUGA